UAGGGAAUCUUCGGCAAUGGACGGAAGUCUGACCGAGCAACGCCGCGUGAGUGAAGAAGGUUUUCGGAUCGUAAAGCUCUGUUGUAAGAGAAGAACGAGUGUGAGAGUGGAAAGUUCACACUGUGACGGUAACUUACCAGAAAGGGACGGCUAACUACGUGCCAGCAGCCGCGGUAAUACGUAGGUCCCGAGCGUUAUCCGGAUUUAUUGGGCGUAAAGCGAGCGCAGGCGGUUAGAUAAGUCUGAAGUUAAAGGCUGUGGCUUAACCAUAGUACGCUUUGGAAACUGUUUAACUUGAGUGCAGAAGGGGAGAGUGGAAUUCCAUGUGUAGCGGUGAAAUGCGUAGAUAUAUGGAGGAACACCGGUGGCGAAAGCGGCUCUCUGGUCUGUAACUGACGCUGAGGCUCGAAAGCGUGGGGAGCAAACAGGAUUAGAUACCCUGGUAGUCCACGCCGUAACGAUGAGUGCUAGGUGUUAGACCCUUUCCGGGGUUUAGUGCCGUAGCUAACGCAUUAAGCACUCCGCCUGGGGAGUACGACCGCAAGGUU
Molecule: ribosomal RNA, 548 nt
Filed under: uncultured bacterium
Lineage: Bacteria
Description: bacterial SSU rRNA
Rfam family: Bacterial small subunit ribosomal RNA
Source: RNAcentral